This 31-nucleotide non-coding RNA is filed under the name Rattus norvegicus (Norway rat). The record is from RNAcentral. Lineage: Eukaryota; Metazoa; Chordata; Mammalia; Rodentia; Muridae.
UGGACAGUGGAAAAGGCUUAAAAGGUCAUUC